AUCAUGGAGGGAAUAACAAUCAUAAUUCGAGGUCAAAAAUGGAAUGUUAAAAAAUAUAGCGCACCAAGAUUCAUCCAAAUAAACGAAGCAGAAUCCCGUCAAAAACUGACGUCUUCCGCCCAUGCUUUCAGAAAACGCGGCACGCCGUUGGUGCUGCCACCCCUACACCUACGUGUCCAAACACCCCCAUCUUCCUUUAUCUCAGUCGUCUCGUCUAUAUAUAAAUUAUAAAAUUAAGUUUUUAGUUUCUCAGUAACCAAAAUUACAGCUAUAAUCAUGGCGAAAACUUCAUUACCAGUAUUUCUGACACUCACCUUUGUUUCUGCCUUUGUAAUUGGGUAUUCCGCCGCUCCUGUUAAGGGUUUUGGAGGUGGUUCAUUUGGAGGAAGAACGAAGGUCGAAGAUGUGGAAAGGGACAAAGAGGUUCAGGAAAUGGGGGAAUACGCGGUGGAUGAGUUCAACCGACAGCAGCAC
RNAcentral lists this long non-coding RNA (474 nucleotides) under Panax ginseng (ginseng). Its description in RNAcentral is "long non-coding RNA (PGIN_LNC016359)". Lineage: Eukaryota; Viridiplantae; Streptophyta; Magnoliopsida; Apiales; Araliaceae. The record is from RNAcentral.